Molecule: ribosomal RNA, 460 nt
Filed under: uncultured bacterium
Lineage: Bacteria
Description: partial 16S ribosomal RNA
Rfam family: Bacterial small subunit ribosomal RNA
Source: RNAcentral
CCUACGGGAGGCAGCAGUGAGGAAUAUUGGUCAAUGGACGAGAGUCUGAACCAGCCAAGUAGCGUGAAGGAUGACUGCCCUAUGGGUUGUAAACUUCUUUUAUAUGGGAAUAAAAUGUUCCACGUGUGGGAUUUUGUAUGUACCAUAUGACUAAGGAUCGGCUAACUACGUGCCAGCAGCCGCGGUAAUACGGAGGAUCCGAGCGUUAUCCGGAUUUAUUGGGUUUAAAGGGAGCGUAGGUGGAUUGUUAAGUCAGUUGUGAAAGUUUGCGGCUCAACCGUAAAAUUGCAGUUGAAACUGGCAGUCUUGAGUACAGUAGAGGUGGGCGGAAUUCGUGGUGUAGCGGUGAAAUGCUUAGAUAUCACGAAGAACUCCGAUUGCGAAGGCAGUUCACUGGACUGCAACUGACACUGAGGCUCGAAAGUGUGGGUAUCAAACAGGAUUAGAUACCCCAGUAGUC